AUGCAGAUCAUGGCCCACCUGGCCAGGGAGUGCCUGCAGUGGGACCCCGAGGCCAGGCCCACCAUGACCGAAGUCGUCCAGAUCCUCUCCACCAUCGCGCCCCUCGCCGACAAGCGCCGUCGCCACCACCUGCCCGCCGCCGCCGGCGCCUUCGCCCCGGGCUUCCACGCCGAGAGGCCGCGGGAAUGCUCAGUGUGGCAGGACGACGACGACUACGGCCAUCGCCGCGAUCACCUGCACGGAGGGAACGGCAGCAAUGCCAAGGGCGCCGUCUUGUCCGGAGAGGUCACGGUUAACGUCGGGAUGCCAGUGACGAUGAUGACGACGAUGGGGCGGAGCUGGCGGUCGGCGGAGCAGGAGGAGGUGGACCUGACGGAGCCGCGGCUGGAGACGUUCACGGAGCCGACGACGACAGCCAGCCCCUUCAGGUGA
RNAcentral lists this ribosomal RNA (432 nucleotides) under Triticum aestivum (bread wheat). RNAcentral's name for it is "partial small subunit ribosomal RNA". The record is from RNAcentral. Lineage: Eukaryota; Viridiplantae; Streptophyta; Magnoliopsida; Poales; Poaceae.